Aedes aegypti (yellow fever mosquito) is the source of this 317-nucleotide long non-coding RNA. RefSeq lists it as uncharacterized. Lineage: Eukaryota; Metazoa; Arthropoda; Insecta; Diptera; Culicidae. The record is from RefSeq and is a predicted model, not a curated record. The transcript has 2 exons.
GUUUGACGAGUAGCAUCUCCAUUUUGAAAUUUCUUUUGCAUUCAUGUUUUCUGUGGUGAUAUUGAAAUCUAUUUUUGGUGCCGGAACUAUUGUAAUAGCAAGCUGGAAAUCAUAUUCAAGAUAUCUUUGAAGAACCCGGAUAUUGUUGCGGCACAACAGUUUGCGGAGCCGAUAUCCAAUGUGCAAAGUUGGAAAACCGAGAAAGAGUAUCGGGAGCAUCGGAUCGUACAGAUUCAAAAUAUGAAGAAAAACUAAAACAAAUUGUUAGUGAUAAUGACAUGACAUAAUAAAUACGAAAUUCUUUUAUAUUAUACUGA